This is a long non-coding RNA of Diachasmimorpha longicaudata, 1957 nucleotides long. RefSeq lists it as uncharacterized. The transcript is spliced from 3 exons. NCBI's taxonomy places the organism in Eukaryota, Metazoa, Arthropoda, Insecta, Hymenoptera, Braconidae. The record is from RefSeq and is a predicted model, not a curated record.
CUAGCCGACCUUCCGAGCAUCCACUGAGUGAAAAAUAUAAUUUUGCCAACCAUAUUUAUUUUAGAUAAACAAAUGUCUGGAAUUUCCAUUGCAAAAGUUUUAUUGGUAGGGCCCCGAAUAUAUAAACAAAGGGAAAAGUUUCAUUACCGGUUUUCUAAGUAACAUUUGACGACCAAAAGUGGCCAUGGGAUUAGAAACAGAAGCCUUUCUGGGGGUGGAAAUGUUCUGGUCCCAAAGGCCCAAAAAUAAGAUUCUACCAUCUUUUAGGACGAGCAUUGACAACAAAAUGGAGUCUUCUGACGAAAUAGCGCUUGUAUCCUAUCCUUAUUAAACCGAAGUGUAUACUGAGUCUGGAAAUUCGGAAAUCUCACCAAGUCGACUUUUUUCGAAUCGAGUUUCCAUGAGCAAAGUAGGACGUCCAAUCAUAUGCUGGAGUUGUGUGGUCAAUGCGUCGAAUCUGUUGGAGUUGAGGCUAUUCAUAUAUAUCGACUCGGCCUUUCACAAUUUCACAAUUUUUUUAUUGUCAUCAUCUACUACUUAUUACUUUUACUAAAUAUUGACCAAUGUGAUAAAAUGCCAACUUUCUGCCAUUUUUUAUUUAUUUUUUAACACAUAUAGUACUUAGGGGUAUUAACUCCGAGUGAAACAUAUAAUUAUUGGAUUGUGGACAGGGAUUUACUAAACAAUAUCAAACGAUUUGGCCAUAAACUUUAAUUUUUUAUUUUCACACGCAGAAGAUAUAUCUUUCUCCUAUUAAAUCUCCAGAAGAACUAACCUUUAGUGACCAAAAUUUUCACUCUGAACCUAUUUGACAAAAGGCCUUUGUUCACUCAUUUAUUUCUUUUCCUUCUCUGUUUCUGUUUAUUAAAACUAUUCUAAAUAUUCCGUCCCCGUUCAGCGAAAAACAAUAAAAUACUAACAUGCACUAAACAGAGCUAUAGACAGACGGUUAAUUUUUGUCCACACAUCCAUGCACUCUAAAUAAUAAUUUUGCCAAUCAUAUUUUUUUUAUAAACAAAUAUCCGAAAUUUUCAUUGGAAAAUUUUUGUAAAAUUCUCUUAACCCUUCUUAGAACGGUUAAUUAUUAAAAUUAUAUUUUUCUUAGUACAUUGUGGACUAAUCCAAUCACCGUCUUUUUACCCCAAGGGGAGGUCAGGGUAAAAUGGGACAUCAUUCAACAAUUGAUUAAGGGAUUAAUGGUGUCUUUACGAGGCUAAUUGACUGUUAUAAUUCCGGAUCAUUUUUCGUUCAAUCGUAGUCCUUGGGAUCUUUGAGAAUCGGAAAAAUUCAACAAUAGCUGUAGACGUAGGGGAGCGUAGGGUAAAAUGACACAGUUUUUCCAAGGAUCUUUUGAUAAAUGGGCCAAGGGCCGAUGACAGAUGGUAUAUCACAGAGAACGUCAGGAAAGCCGGAAUCUACUACAGUGGAACAGAAGAUGGCUGGGACGGCACAGCGCAAGAUUCUCUCGACUUUUUGGGGAGUACCUCGGGACCAAGGACGUCGCGGAGGAGGGGAAGGGGAAGGGAACGACAUGGUGGGUGGUUUGCGCGUUGGCAAUACGGGUGGUACUGUCAGAGGUGGGAGACAGGGCGUCUCGAAGGUCUGGAAUAAAGGUAACCAGAGCUCUGGUCUCGGUUUUUUCGAUGGCCUCGCCUGGGCAGUAGUUAAAAAGGACACGAAAAACCUCACACCCUUACCCUUACCCUUACCCACAAUUUCAUAUUGAUGUUCAGAUUUUCUGUGAUUUUGGCCGAACCUGAACAGUGAGAGGUCAUUACUCUUGAAGGGAUUACAGCGACUCAAAAUAUCGAAUAACAACUUAAUUUAUUGUCUGUUAAAAUCAACAAACUCAAAAUUCAAUUUCGGGAUUUUAGACAAAUUCGUUAUAAAGACGGGGGAAAAUAUGUAGAUCGCAACUUCAGUGCGAUCGAACAUCUAGAAUAAGUUGAAUGAGAGU